This is a non-coding RNA of Ictidomys tridecemlineatus (thirteen-lined ground squirrel), 74 nucleotides long. Lineage: Eukaryota; Metazoa; Chordata; Mammalia; Rodentia; Sciuridae. The record is from Rfam.
AAGAAUAUGGGUCAGUAGGUAGAAUGCUUGCCUCACAUGCAUAAAGCCCUGGGUUCAAUCCCCAAGUAUUUCUA